UGUUCCUAGAUGUGUAAAAUAUAAUCGAAAGUCUCAAAUAAAUUAAUUAACUAGAGCAUUGUAUAGUAACUAGUAUAUAAUUUUAUUUUAAUUUGUUUGAAAUCCAUGUAUGCUCUGGGGUUGGGAUACUCAAUAGUUAUUAUAAGACCUUAUGAUGCUUGGCAUUGGCUUAUUUACCUUGACAUUUUUUUUUAAUAAUGGGUAUGUCUGAAUUGAAAAUCUUGUGGUCCAAAAAUUCCAAACUUCAUCAUUCAUUUUCACUUCUCAUUGCUUAGUCAUUUGAUCAUUUAUUAUUUUAAUUUUUCUUUUAAAAAAUAUUAUAUUUUUAACUCACUGUUGGGUUCUUGGAGCUACCAUAGAGUUCUCUAUCCUUUAUUUUGUCCCACUUUUUCAUUUGAUGCUUGGAUUUGUAUUCAACUCAAAGCUAUUGCUGGUAUUCCUAUAAAGCGGGCUAGUUUACAAGAAGUAGCAACCUUGUGAAGAAAGUUGGGUUAUACUUGGUUAAAAUGUCGCAUGCCUUGGGCUAUUGGUGAUUUUGAGGGGAGAUACAUUUCAUUGCAAGCUUGGUUGUAUAUCUUCUUGAAGAAUUUGUUAUUAUUUGAUUUGUAUUUGAGAUGGUAGAUUUGAAUUUAAAUUAUGUAUAUGAUAUUGAACUUGGGUAUUGUUUUUCCUUAUUAGUAGUUAUUGAUUGAGCCAUUGUUAA
Long non-coding RNA from Quercus robur (English oak), 703 nucleotides. RefSeq lists it as uncharacterized. The record is from RefSeq and is a predicted model, not a curated record. The transcript has 2 exons. Lineage: Eukaryota; Viridiplantae; Streptophyta; Magnoliopsida; Fagales; Fagaceae.